This 200-nucleotide unclassified non-coding RNA is filed under the name Humicola sp. Its description in RNAcentral is "partial internal transcribed spacer 2". The record is from RNAcentral. Lineage: Eukaryota; Fungi; Ascomycota; Sordariomycetes; Sordariales; Chaetomiaceae.
UUAAGUUCAGCGGGUCUUCCUACCUGAUCCGAGGUCAACCUUGGGUAAAUAAGGCUUUUAACGGCCGGAACCCGCAGCACGCCCUGAGCGAGAUGUAUUACUACGCUCGGAGUGAUAGCGAGCCCGCCACUGGUUUUAGGAGGCUGCGGGCAGCCGCAGGGGCUCCAACACAAGCCUGGGGCUUGAUGGUUGAAAUGACG